AGCUAGUCCAAGUGCAGUGGUAUUUUCAACUAACUAAUCACAACCAGUUACAGAUUCCUUUGUUCCUCCUCCACUCCUACAGUUUCACUUGACUAGCCUAAA
Molecule: Y RNA, 102 nt
Filed under: Prolemur simus (greater bamboo lemur)
Lineage: Eukaryota; Metazoa; Chordata; Mammalia; Primates; Lemuridae
Description: Y RNA (ENSPSMG00000025353.1)
Rfam family: Y RNA
About the family: Y RNAs are components of the Ro ribonucleoprotein particle (Ro RNP), in association with Ro60 and La proteins. The Y RNAs and Ro60 and La proteins are well conserved, but the function of the Ro RNP is not known.
Source: Rfam by way of RNAcentral